GCUCAGGAUGAACGCUGGCGGCGUGCUUAACACAUGCAAGUCGAACGGGAAAUACUUUAUUGAAACUUCGGUCGAUUUAAUUUAUUUCUAGUGGCGGACGGGUGAGUAACGCGUGGGUAACCUGCCUUAUACCGGGGGAUAACAGCCAGAAAUGGCUGCUAAUACCGCAUAAGCGCACAGAACCGCAUGGUUCCGUGUGAAAAACUCCGGUGGUAUAAGAUGGACCCGCGUUGGAUUAGCUAGUUGGCAGGGCAGCGGCCUACCAAGGCGACGAUCCAUAGCCGGCCUGAGAGGGUGAACGGCCACAUUGGGACUGAGACACGGCCCAGACUCCUACGGGAGGCAGCAGUA
RNAcentral lists this ribosomal RNA (351 nucleotides) under uncultured bacterium. RNAcentral's name for it is "bacterial SSU rRNA". It matches the Rfam family "Bacterial small subunit ribosomal RNA", at positions 22 to 356 of the family's 1533-position model. The record is from RNAcentral.